This 155-nucleotide small RNA is filed under the name Streptomyces sp. RNAcentral describes it as "c-di-AMP sequence". It matches the Rfam family "c-di-AMP riboswitch aptamer (ydaO/yuaA leader)". Rfam says of the family: This family represents a conserved RNA structure found upstream of the ydaO and yuaA genes in Bacillus subtilis and related genes in other bacteria. The ydaO/yuaA element is thought to act as a genetic "off" switch for the ydaO and yuaA genes in its native state. The record is from RNAcentral. Lineage: Bacteria; Bacillati; Actinomycetota; Actinomycetes; Kitasatosporales; Streptomycetaceae.
UCGCCGGUUCCGCCUGGAAUGCCGGGAAUUGCACCGAGGGAACCGGGGAACCACCUUCUUGGGGUGAAUCGGACGCCUCUCGCCAGGGGGCGCCGUAGGAGACCUUCCUGCUCCGAACCCGUCAGCUAACCCGGUAGGCGAGAAGGAAGGAAAGG